UCGAGAAUUUUUCACAAUGGGGGAAACCCUGAUGGAGCGACGCCGCGUGGGGGAUGAAUGGCUUCGGCCCGUAAACCCCUGUCAUUCGGGAUCAAUACGUCCGGCUUAAUACGCUGGGCGUUGAUAGUACUGAAAGAGGAAGGGACGGCUAACUCUGUGCCAGCAGCCGCGGUAAUACAGAGGUCCCAAGCGUUGUUCGGAUUUACUGGGCGUAAAGGGUGCGUAGGCGGUCGGGUAAGUCUGGUGUGAAAUCUCCAAGCUUAACUUGGAAACUGCAUUGGAUACUAUCCGGCUUGAGGUUGGGAGGGGGGACUGGAAUUCUCGGUGUAGCAGUGAAAUGCGUAGAUAUCGAGAGGAACACCAGUGGCGAAGGCGAGUCCCUGGACCAAUCCUGACGCUGAGGCACGAAAGCCAGGGGAGCAAACGGG
RNAcentral lists this ribosomal RNA (428 nucleotides) under uncultured bacterium. Its description in RNAcentral is "bacterial SSU rRNA". It matches the Rfam family "Bacterial small subunit ribosomal RNA", at positions 355 to 776 of the family's 1533-position model. The record is from RNAcentral.